AAUUCCAGCUCCAAUAGUGUAUAUUAGAGUUGUUGCAGUUAAAAAGCUCGUAGUUGGAUUUCUGUCGUGGUCAACCGGCGCCGCCCGUAUGGGUGCGUGCCUGGUUUGCCCGCGGCUUUCUUCUGGUUAGCCUUCCGCGCUUAAUUGCGUGUGUUGGUGUUCCGGAACUUUUACUUUGAGAAAAAUAGAGUGUUUCAAGCAGGCUUGUCGCCCUGAAUACUUCAGCAUGGAAUAAUAAGAUAGGACCUUGGUUCUAUUUUGUUGGUUUCUAGGACCAAGGUAAUGAUUAAUAGGGACAGUUGGGGGCAUUCGUAUUUAACUGUCAGAGGUGAAAUUCUUAGAUUUGUUAAAGACGAACUACUGCGAAAGCAUUUGCCAAGGAUGUUUUCAUUAAUCAAGAACGACAGUAGGGGGUUUGAAGACGAUUAGAUACCGUCGUAAUCUCUACCAUAAACUAUGCCGACUAGAGAUAGGGAAACGCCUACCUUGGCUUCUCCUG
Molecule: ribosomal RNA, 499 nt
Filed under: Eimeria bukidnonensis
Lineage: Eukaryota; Apicomplexa; Conoidasida; Eucoccidiorida; Eimeriidae
Description: SSU rRNA
Rfam family: Eukaryotic small subunit ribosomal RNA
Source: RNAcentral